UAUUCAUCCAAUAGUGGAACACCUAAAAUGCCCUUCAAUUUCUACCGAUUUAUCGUUUUUGCCCUCUUAACAUCUUGCUCCUCCACGUUGCUUCAGCCUUAGACCCUCUCUUUACGUUCAGCCUUUGACCUAGGUCUUUCGUCCUCUUCCUUUUGCUUGCUCGAGCUUCCCCUUUCUCUUUCCUCCUGCUUCUCUUCUUGGUAUAACCUCAUCCCCAUCUCCUACUGAAAUUUUGUCGACCACACAAUUCACGAAUGAAGGGAGGUAAAUAUCGCAAAGAUUCUCUGCCUUUGAAUUGUAAGCUCUUCAGAUCUGAAAUUGUUAUCAUUUUCAAUUGUUUUAAAAGUUUCUUAUGCAGAAAGCUGAAACGGCAGCAAGUGAGACGAAUAGGGCAUCGGUUGUGGCGUUGAAUGCUGAGAUUCGUCGAAUUAAAGGUUGAUUGCAGCGAUUGGCUCAAAAAAAGGGUUAUAUUCGGUUGUGGCGUCGAAUGCUGUGAUUCGUCGAAUUAAAGGUUGAUUGCAGCGAUUGCUGCAUAUUUGUACAAACUUGGAGAAGAUCUCGUAAGUCUAUGCUGGAAAGAAUGAUCAGUGGCAUGAUUGUUAAAAGAGCUUAGCUACUAAAGGAAAUUGAUGAUCAUGAAGCAAAGGUGGCAACCAUAUGUUCUGCAAUGGGAGAGAGACCGUUGCAUAUUCAGCAGCAAAGCAGUUUGCGGCUUUAUAGGGUGUGAUGUCGAUGAACUCCAUCAACUUUCGAUAGUAGAGUUCACAACUUCUUUUUUUCGUUCAGAUAUUGCAAGAGGUUUUUGCAGCCAACAACAUAAGGUUUUUGUCAGAAUCUCUUUUUCCUGAUGUACAGAUGAUUUCGGGAUCAAUUCCAAACUUCCGUAAUGCUGAGGGACAAGAUGUGCUGCUCUUUAUUGACAACAUUUUCCGUUUUACCCAAGCUAACUCAGAGGUGUCUGCUUUACUUGGAUGUAUUCCCUCGGCUGUUGGUUACCAACCUACCUUGGAUACUGAUCUUGGAGGUCCACAAGAGUGUAUUACAACGACCAAUAAGGGUUCUAUUACUUCUGUCCAGGCUAUCUAUGUGCCUGUUGAUGAUUCGACAGAUCCUCCUCCUGCUACAACUUUUCCUCAUUUGGAUGCCACUACUAUAUUAUCCCGACAGGGACAUUUCGAGCUGCCAAAUUGGUAUCUGUAGCACCUAAAUAGAACUAAAGAGCUGGAUGAUAAUACGAGCUUCUCAUUGAUCGUCCUAGGCUUUCUUCUCGCGUCGAGACAUCUUGAUCAAGAGUUCAUAUUAGUGGUAUAAGAUUUGGUAUAUAGUAUCUGGAUUGUUGGAUGAGGGUUCACAAGGUCCGCACUGUCAGCAGUUACAGUUCAUGUGACAAGUUUUACGAAGUUCCAUGGAGUUGCAAAAACUCCAACAAAGACGAUUGUGCGUAAUCUGAAAGAAUACAUGGAGAAGAAGGGCUUACCAAAAGGGUUGGCUCUAGAGAGCUGCAAUACUCUCGAAACUGCAGGACAUGGGGUAGUUGCUCCUCUUCACCAGACGCUGCAAUCUGCCAUUAAUGGGAAUGAUUCAGCAUUGCCAAAUUCUGGGACAGUUAUUUGGAUUUGAGGGAGAUCGCGUCAGCUUUUGAAAACGGGUUCUUAUAUUAAGGAAGCACAUUUCUGGUUUAGCUAAUUGUCACUCACAUAGAGCGGGAGGUUGAGCAAUUUCUUUGGAAAAAAAUCUGGUGGCAAACAAGAAGAAAGGAAAGCUCGAACCAUCUGGGUGUCAGAAGCUGAUAGAAGAAGGAUGUUCAUAGAGAUCGUUCGGGAUUCUCUGGCCAAAAUGUCCAUCCCCAUCAGUAGGUCGCAAGAGGUCCUGGGAUCUUAAGUUCCCUUCCAUCGAACUUCAACGUGUAUGCUUGUCAAAGUGCCGGGGAUAGCUUUGAGAGGCCGGGGCAAUUUGGUAGUAGAGAGAGGCAGGGGCAAUUUGACAAUAGAGAGAGGAAGGGGCAAUUUGACAAUAGAGAGAGGCAAGGGUGGGCAGGACACAGUUUUGGUGAGGAAAGAGAAAUCACCGAAACUCAAUCCAACAGAACUCGGGAAGCAUUUGUGUGAGCUUGGAGAUCAGUUGUUUACAGGCACCUGUUACUCCAGUCCUAAAAACCACAGAACUAAAGAGCCUAGGCCAAAGGUACCACCAGCAUUAAAUAUCUAUCAGCAACAGGCAGUUGACUUCUUUCUGAUAGUCUUUCCAAGAUCACCUAGAAAGAUGCAAGUAAAGUCUGCCGAGCCAAUUCACUGGCAACACACAAAUUCGGUUAAGUUUCUACUGUGGGAAAAAACAUCUAUGGGAAAAUAUCAUCACAACAAUUUCAGAAGUUACAGCAAACAUCGUUGUAAGAAUCCUAACAGUAAAUCUACAAAAAACGCGUAAAGCAGGUGUGUGCUGCAGAAACUGGUAGGUGGCAUGGACUUGAUGUUGUGUUCCCAGUAGCGCGUUGCUACCUAAAAGAAUGCUUAACAGGGACUACAGGAAGAGGAUGACUGAUGCCCAAGCUUUGAGUAAGUGUUUUCUCAUUAUGUUCUUUGGCUAUUCAAGGUUCUGAGCUGGUGUACCAUAUAUUUUAAUCUGUAUUUUGACUUGAGCUUUGAAUUUACCUAAUUUGGUCAAAUAAUGAGGCUUAUGCGUACUUCAUGUAACAUUUGCUUAAGGAAAAGCUUUUGUAAUUGAUAGCCAAAUCACAUGUGAGUUCUGUCCUCACAGCUAGGGGCGCAAAUUGCAUGCUCCUCGGCAUUACAAACACCCAUCUUCUUCAAUCUGCUUUUAAACUAUAACCUAUUAUGAGCAGCAAACCAUUUCUCUUUUCCCUACUGACAAGAUCUGCUGCCUCUCUUUGCUUUCUCUGAGAUUUCAUCCCUUCCAUUUGCGAACCCUACCUGUCAUCUCUCCUCCGCCCCCUUAACUUUUCUCUCCUUUUCAGUAUCCUUGGAUCAUCAGGAAAUUGGUUUCAUCAAGCUGUUUACCUCAAAAUCGAUCAAUUUCUCCAGUUCCCUGGAUGAAUUCGGAGAGAAGAACAGCAAUUACAAAGCUCAAUCAUACAGAAAGAACAACAAUACUGAAGAAAAGGAGGAAGAAGAAACUUCAAUUACUGGUACUGAUCCUUGAAGUCGUCGCAACACCCCAAUGAUGAAGAAUUAAAGUAUCAAAAGUAUCUAUUAUUUGCAAGAUCUUCAAAAGUACCAGUAAAUGCUAAACUUGACCACUUAAAGGUUGGAUACCUUGAUUAUUGCAAGAAACGAGGCUUUGUCACCUGCUAUAUAAGCCCCUGUCCACCAGCGAAGGGAGAAGAUUAAUUUUAUAUUGUCAUCUAGAGACACAAAAAACACCCAGGCGAGUAUUUAAAACAUCUGAAUGGCUUCCUUACAUGGUUUGGGAAGGUAACAAGCAACUACAACUUUCUGAAGGCAUUACGCAAGUAGUUCAUUCUAUGUCGUCUAAUUCGUAAAUGAAAAACGUAUUUAAUACACUUUUCGAUUUCAUAUGUAGUAAGUGUUUUUUCUUGUAAAGUGACUUUCAAAUUGUAAUUAUUAUGACUAAUA
Molecule: RNA transcript, 3593 nt
Organism: Spinacia oleracea (spinach)
Lineage: Eukaryota; Viridiplantae; Streptophyta; Magnoliopsida; Caryophyllales; Amaranthaceae
Exons: 15
Source: RefSeq, a predicted model, not a curated record